This 253-nucleotide ribosomal RNA is filed under the name uncultured bacterium. RNAcentral's name for it is "partial 16S ribosomal RNA". It matches the Rfam family "Bacterial small subunit ribosomal RNA", at positions 524 to 776 of the family's 1533-position model. The record is from RNAcentral.
UACAGAGGUCCCAAGCGUUGUUCGGAUUUACUGGGCGUAAAGGGUGCGUAGGCGGUUGGGUAAGUCUGACGUGAAAUCUCCGGGCCUAACCCGGAAACUGCGUUGGAUACUACCUGACUAGAGGAAUGGAGGGGAGACUGGAAUACUUGGUGUAGCAGUGAAAUGCGUAGAUAUCGAGAGGAACACCUGCGGCGAAGGCGGGUUGCUGGGCUGACACUGACGCUGAUGCGCGAAAGCUAGGGGAGCGAACGGG